CCAGUAAACGGCGGCCGUAACUAUAACGGUCCUAAGGUAGCGAAAUUCCUUGUCGGGUAAGUUCCGACCUGCACGAAUGGCGUAAUGAUGGCCAGGCUGUCUCCACCCGAGACUCAGUGAAAUUGAACUCGCUGUGAAGAUGCAGUGUACCCGCGGCAAGACGGAAAGACCCCGUGAACCUUUACUAUAGCUUGACACUGAACAUUGAGCCUUGAUGUGUAGGAUAGGUGGGAGGCUUUGAAGUGUGGACGCCAGUCUGCAUGGAGCCAACCUUGAAAUACCACCCUUUAACGUUUGAUGUUCUAACCUAGGCCCAUAAACUGGGUCGGGGACCGUGUCUGGUGGGUAGUUUGACUGGGGCGGUCUCCUCCUAAAGAGUAACGGAGGAGCACGAAGGUUGGCUAAGCAUGGUCGGACAUCAUGCGGUUAGUGCAAAGGCAUAAGCCAGCUUGACUGCGAGAGUGACGGCUCGAGCAGGUACGAAAGUAGGUCUUAGUGAUCCGGUGGUUCUGAAUGGAAGGGCCAUCGCUCAACGGAUAAAAGGUACUCCGGGGAUAACAGGCUGAUACCGCCCAAGAGUUCAUAUCGACGGCGGUGUUUGGCACCUCGAUGUCGGCUCAUCACAUCCUGGGGCUGAAGUAGGUCCCAAGGGUAUGGCUGUUCGCCAUUUAAAGUGGUACGCGAGCUGGGUUUAGAACGUCGUGAGACAGUUCGGUCCCUAUCUGCCGUGGGCGUUGGAAGAUUGAGAGGGGUUGCUCCUAGUACGAGAGGACCGGAGUGAACGCACCACUGGUGUUCGGGUUGUCAUGCCAAUGGCAUUGCCCGGUAGCUAAGUGCGGAAGAGAUAACCGCUGAAAGC
This 859-nucleotide ribosomal RNA is filed under the name Proteus mirabilis. Its description in RNAcentral is "partial 23S ribosomal RNA". It matches the Rfam family "Bacterial large subunit ribosomal RNA", at positions 1920 to 2778 of the family's 2925-position model. The record is from RNAcentral. Lineage: Bacteria; Pseudomonadati; Pseudomonadota; Gammaproteobacteria; Enterobacterales; Morganellaceae.